UACGAGGGGUCCUAGCGUUGUUCGGAAUCAUUGGGCGUAAAGAGUAUGUAGGCGGCCAGAUAAGUCAGGUGUGAAAUCCCCGGGCUCAACCCGGGAAGUGCAUUUGAUACUGUCUGGCUUGAGUAUGGAAGAGGGUAGUGGAAUUCCUGGUGUAGUGGUGAAAUACGUAGAUAUUGGGAAGAACACCGGUGGCGAAGGCGGCCAACUGGACCAUUUCUGACGCUGAGGCGCGAAAGCGUGGGGAGCAAACAGG
This 253-nucleotide ribosomal RNA is filed under the name uncultured bacterium. RNAcentral's name for it is "partial 16S ribosomal RNA". It matches the Rfam family "Bacterial small subunit ribosomal RNA", at positions 524 to 776 of the family's 1533-position model. The record is from RNAcentral.